RNAcentral lists this ribosomal RNA (498 nucleotides) under uncultured bacterium. RNAcentral's name for it is "partial 16S ribosomal RNA". It matches the Rfam family "Bacterial small subunit ribosomal RNA", at positions 30 to 523 of the family's 1533-position model. The record is from RNAcentral.
AUUGAACGCUGGCGGCAUGCUUUACACAUGCAAGUCGAACGGCAGCGCGGGGCAACCUGGCGGCGAGUGGCGAACGGGUGAGUAAUACAUCGGAACGUACCCAGAAGUGGGGGAUAACGUAGCGAAAGUUACGCUAAUACCGCAUACGUUCUACGGAAGAAAGUGGGGGAUCUUCGGACCUCAUGCUUUUGGAGCGGCCGAUGGCUGAUUAGCUAGUUGGUGAGGUAAAGGCUCACCAAGGCGACGAUCAGUAGCUGGUCUGAGAGGACGACCAGCCACACUGGGACUGAGACACGGCCCAGACUCCUACGGGAGGCAGCAGUGGGGAAUUUUGGACAAUGGGCGCAAGCCUGAUCCAGCAAUGCCGCGUGAGUGAAGAAGGCCUUCGGGUUGUAAAGCUCUUUUGUCAGGGAAGAAACGGCUGGGGCUAAUACCUCUGGCUAAUGACGGUACCUGAAGAAUAAGCACCGGCUAACUACGUGCCAGCCGCCGCGGUAA